Molecule: non-coding RNA, 1188 nt
Organism: Amborella trichopoda
Lineage: Eukaryota; Viridiplantae; Streptophyta; Magnoliopsida; Amborellales; Amborellaceae
Source: RefSeq, a predicted model, not a curated record
GCCUGUUGCACUUCUCUCUCUCCCUUCCCUCAAUCAUCUCUCUCUAUGCCCACUCUCAACCGUCCAUCUCUUUUCUCACACUGUCCCUAAUGCUGCUUCCUCAAUCUUCUCUCUUUCAGCUUUUUCUCUCUAAAAUUUUGGGUUUUUACCUCUGCCUCUUUUCUUCAGGGGAGCGAUACAGCUUCUGCAAAGGUGCAUAAACAGAAGAUGAGCAGCCAAAGCUAGCUCUAACUGGUUCCCUUUUCUCUUUUAUUCUCUUCUUUUUCUUUUUUACCUUUUAUUCUCUCGUCCUGGUUUCCCGGUUUCAGAUUUAAAACCGAGUGCAAUAUAUCCACUGUCUAUUUUAUUGGAUGGUAGAUUAGAGUGAAGCUCUUAUUGUGAGAUUUGAGCUUCGGCUCUAUCUUGGCUACCUACCCCUCCUUACCCAUUACAUUCACGGAGGGCAAAUGAAAUGGUUAGUCUACUUUUUAUAAUCUUGGGCUGGAUUUGGAAGUACAACCAUUCUUUUUCUCAAGAGAGUGGUAAGUUUCAUCUUUCACUUUCUAAACUUUUGGGCUUUCUCUCACUAAACUUUUCAUUCUAUGGUUUUAGAUCUUGAUUUAAGGUCUGGAUUUGGAAGUACAGCCAUUGUUUUAGGUUUGAAUGUAUGAAUUAGAGUGGAUCUUUCUCUCUCUGGUGGAUUUUGAAUGGAUGAAUUGGAGUUUUUAUUUUUCAUCAUCAACAGUAGGGGCUGGACUUUGAAGUACAACCAUUUUUUCUCUUAAAAGGGUGGUCAUACAUACUACGCUUGGUUAUUACAACAUUUGGUCUUGUUGGAUUAUGGCAUCACAAUGAGGUCUAGAGUGUUCAAGAACUAUUGCUUGCAUUUGAAGAAGGAGGUGGGGCUUAAAUGUCCAGCGGCAUAGAUUGGUCUGUAGAAAGUACAACAACUAAGAUAACAUGACUUUGGAUCGACAUAGAUUGGCCUUAAAUGUUGCGGUAUUGCAAUUGUUUGAUAUUCUAUGUCAAAAAGUUUGGCAACUAAUUUGAGGGUCUCCACUUUAUUGAUAUGGGAAUGUAAUAACCUUUUCAUGAUGACAAGUGCUUGUUAAAGACUAUGCUAUCAAUUGAUAGUUAUGUAAAUUUAUAGACGAUUUCAAUUUGUUAAAGAAUGUGCUGUCAUUUUGAUUGAUGCACGUAUUAGUUCCA